GAUGAACGCUGGCAGAAUGCUUAACACAUGCAAGUCAACUUGAACUUCGGUUUGGGUGGCGGACGGGUGAGUAACGCGUAAAGAACUUGCCUCACAGCUAGGGACAACAUUUGGAAACGAAUGCUAAUACCUGAUAUUAUGAUUAUAUGGCAUCGUAUAAUUAUGAAAGCUAUAUGCGCUGUGAGAGAGCUUUGCGUCCCAUUAGCUAGUUGGAGAGGUAACAGCUCACCAAGGCGAUGAUGGGUAGCCGGCCUGAGAGGGUGAUCGGCCACAAGGGGACUGAGACACGGCCCUUACUCCUACGGGAGGCAGCAGUGGGGAAUAUUGGACAAUGGACCGAGAGUCUGAUCCAGCAAUUCUGUGUGCACGAUGAAGUUUUUCGGAAUGUAAAGUGCUUUCAGUUGGGAAGAAAAAAAUGACGGUACCAACAGAAGAAGUGACGGCUAAAUACGUG
Molecule: ribosomal RNA, 454 nt
Filed under: uncultured bacterium
Lineage: Bacteria
Description: partial 16S ribosomal RNA
Rfam family: Bacterial small subunit ribosomal RNA
Source: RNAcentral